UACAGAGGGUGCAAGCGUUAAUCGGAAUUACUGGGCGUAAAGCGUGCGUAGACGGUUAUGUAAGUCGGGUGUGAAAGCCCCGGGCUCAACCUGGGAAUUGCAUUCGAGACUGCAUAGCUAGGGUGCGGAAGAGGGAAGCGGAAUUUCCGGUGUAGCGGUGAAAUGCGUAGAUAUCGGAAGGAACACCAGUGGCGAAAGCGGCUUCCUGGUCCAGCGCCGACGUUCAGGCACGAAAGCGUGGGGAGCAAACAGG
This 253-nucleotide ribosomal RNA is filed under the name uncultured bacterium. RNAcentral describes it as "partial 16S ribosomal RNA". It matches the Rfam family "Bacterial small subunit ribosomal RNA", at positions 524 to 776 of the family's 1533-position model. The record is from RNAcentral.